GGAAGUUGAUAAGAUCUGGUGGUCUUCGCGGUCUUCAAAACCGUUGGGCGUGUAGAAGCGUCGGGAGGUUCGAUUCCUCCCUCUUCC
Molecule: transfer RNA, 87 nt
Filed under: Marispirochaeta aestuarii
Lineage: Bacteria; Pseudomonadati; Spirochaetota; Spirochaetia; Spirochaetales; Spirochaetaceae
Description: Selenocysteine transfer RNA
Rfam family: Selenocysteine transfer RNA
Source: Rfam by way of RNAcentral